GUCCACGCCGUAAACGAUGGACACUAGGCGUCGGGGGGAGCGACCCCCUCGGUGCCGUCGCUAACGCAGUAAGUGUCCCGCCUGGGGGUACGGCCGCAAGGCUGAAACUCAAAGGAAUUUACGGGGGCCCGCACAAGCGGUGGAGCAUGUGGUUUAAUUCGAAGCAACGCGAAGAACCUUACCUGGGCUUGACAUACUGGUGAAAGCUGGUGGAAACACCGGCCCCUCUUCGGAGCGCCAGCACAGGUGCUGCAUGGCUGUCGU
Molecule: ribosomal RNA, 264 nt
Filed under: uncultured bacterium
Lineage: Bacteria
Description: partial 16S ribosomal RNA
Rfam family: Bacterial small subunit ribosomal RNA
Source: RNAcentral